RNAcentral lists this ribosomal RNA (445 nucleotides) under uncultured bacterium. Its description in RNAcentral is "partial 16S ribosomal RNA". It matches the Rfam family "Bacterial small subunit ribosomal RNA", at positions 354 to 796 of the family's 1533-position model. The record is from RNAcentral.
GUAGGGAAUAUUGGGCAAUGGAUGCAAGUCUGACCCAGCCAUCCCGCGUGCCGGAAGAAGGCCCUCAGGGUUGUAAACGGCUUUUGACGGUGAAGAAUCGACAGGAUGCGUCCUGUUUUGACGGUAGCCGUUGAAUAAGCACCGGCUAACUCCGUGCCAGCAGCCGCGGUAAUACGGAGGGUGCGAGCGUUGUCCGGAUGUAUUGGGUUUAAAGGGUGCGUAGGCUGGAAGGUCAGUCAGCGGUGAAAAGCUGUCGCUUAACGAUAGUCUUGCCGCAGAUACUUCCUUUCGUGGAUGAGGAGGAGGCCACUGGAACGGAUGGUGUAGCGGUGAAAUGCAUAGAUAUCAUCCAGAACACCGAUUGCGAAGGCAGGUGGCUGUACCUUAAGCGACGCUGAUGCACGAAAGCAUGGGGAGCAAACAGGAUUAGAAACCCUUGUAGUCC